Non-coding RNA from Ciona intestinalis (vase tunicate), 428 nucleotides. The record is from RefSeq and is a predicted model, not a curated record. Lineage: Eukaryota; Metazoa; Chordata; Ascidiacea; Phlebobranchia; Cionidae.
GCAAUGCAAUAGAUCAUCGCAUUACCAAGUCUGCCGAUCCCUGGGGCAUGUCAAAGCUACCACAAGUUUUGGUGAUUGCAAAAAGGUAAUCAUUAAAUUGACUGCAAUGUUAAGGCUUUGAUCAUCACAAGCAUCCUAAACAUUUCAGAUCUAAGACAUGCGAAUUGUUUGUGCAAUUUGGUAACCAAUGUGGAGCAUGCAAAGCAGUGGAUAACAGAAACCAAAAAAAUAAAAAAACGAAGAUUUAAAUAUGAGACUGCAGUGAAGGAUCUUCCGAUUUUUCGUUUUCAGAAAAGUCAUAAUCUUCAAUGUAGAAUACAAGCUACUUUAAUUGAUAAAGAUUCCAGAAUUGCAGCUUUAGAAAAGGAGGUGGCUCAGUACAAAACCAAUCUGAAUUAGUGGAAGUGGAUACAAACAUAGCAAGCUAU